GUGCUUGCUUCGGCAGCACAUAUACUAAAACUGGAACGAUACAGAGAAGAUUAGCAUGGUCCCUGCACAAGGAUGACACACAAAUUCAUGAAGCGUUCCAUAUUUUU
This 107-nucleotide small nuclear RNA is filed under the name Tursiops truncatus (common bottlenose dolphin). RNAcentral also lists the same sequence under 1 other name. The record is from RNAcentral. Lineage: Eukaryota; Metazoa; Chordata; Mammalia; Artiodactyla; Delphinidae.